This 784-nucleotide ribosomal RNA is filed under the name uncultured sediment bacterium. Its description in RNAcentral is "bacterial SSU rRNA". It matches the Rfam family "Bacterial small subunit ribosomal RNA", at positions 710 to 1498 of the family's 1533-position model. The record is from RNAcentral.
CGAAAGCGAAGGCGAUCUGCUGGAACAUUACUGACGCUGAGGCGUGAAAGCGUGGGGAGCAAACGGGAUUAGAUACCCCGGUAGUCCACGCCCUAAACGAUGAAUGCCAGUCGUCGGUGAGCUAGUCUCAUCGGUGAUGCACUUAACAGAUUAAGCAGUCCGCCUGGGGAGUACGGUCGCAAGAUUAAAACUCAAAGGAAUAGACGGGGACCCGCACAAGUGGUGGAGCAUGUGGUUUAAUUCGAAGAUACGCGAAGAACCUUACCUGGCCUUGACAUUGAUAGAAUUCGGCAGAGAUGCUGGAGUGCCUUUCGGGGAACUAGAAAACAGGUGCUGCACGGCUGUCGUCAGCUCGUGUCGUGAGAUGUUGGGUUAAGUCCCGCAACGAGCGCAACCCUCGUCGUUAGUUGCUAACAGUUUGGCUGAGCACUCUAGCGAGACUGCCUUCGCAAGGAGGAGGAAGGUGAGGACGACGUCAAGUCAUCAUGGCCCUUACGGCCAGGGCUACACACGUGCUACAAUGGGGCGUACAGAGAGUUGCGAUACCGCGAGGUGGAGCCAAUCUCAUAAAGCGUCUCUCAGUUCGGAUUGUUCUCUGCAACUCGAGAACAUGAAGCUGGAAUCACUAGUAAUCGUAGAUCAGCACUGCUACGGUGAAUACGUUCCCGGGUCUUGUACUCACCGCCCGUCACACCAUGGGAGUUGAUUUCACCCGAAAUCGGGAUGCCAAACCGGCUACCGCUUACGGUGGAAUUAGCGACUGGGGUGAAGUCGUAACAAGGUA